CUUGGCCUCCCAAAGUGCUGGGAUUACAGGCGUGAGCCACCACACCUGGCCUUGGGGUAUCAUUUCUUUUAAGCCUUCUCAACUGACAGAACAAAGAAAUAUAUCUGUAUAUACCAAUGUGUAUAUAUAUACACACAUAUCUAUAUUUCCAUUUGUAACCAUCUGUAUAUAUAUUAAGCUAAACAUGAGUUCCUGUUUAUAUUUACCACUUGAAUCCAGGGAUCAUUUGGCUUGCUUCCUGCUUGCUUAUCUCUAAAUUCCCACUCCAAUAACGGGAAACCUGGUUCCCAUCAUCCACAUCCACCAUCCAUUUACUUAAUUGUUCAAGUCCAGUAUACAUGUGUAGGAUUAUCAAAAUUGUUAACCCAUACCCCUGUGGGAAACUUUAUCAAGUAGAGUACAUUCUUCUGAACACUUUCUUUUGCCUUUAGUGUUCCAGCAGACUCCACUUGUUUCUUUUUUCUUUUUCUUUUUUUUUUUUUUUUGAGACAGAGCCUCACUCUGUUGCCCAGGUUGGAGUGCUGGAGUGCAGCGGGGCCAUCACAGCUCACAGCAGCCUUGACUUCCCAGUCUUAAGUGAUCCUCCUGCCUCAGCCUCCCAAGUAGCUGGGACUACAGGCAUGCGCCACUACACCCAUCUAAUUUUUUAAAAUUUUUGUAGAGAUGGGAUCUCACUAUGUUGCCUAGGCUUGUCUCCAACUCCUGGGCUCCAGUGAUCCUCCCGCCUCAGCCUCCCAAAGUCCUGGGAUUAAAGGCAUGAGCCACCACGCCUGGCCCACUCAUUUCUAAAGUUACUUAGGUCAGCACGUUUUCCUCUAUCCUCUUCAUGAGGUCAUUUCACACAUUUGUAAUACGGUGAAGAUGUUUGUCAUAUUCUGCAUGACAUUUUGGAAUUAUCUAAAUGUCCUAAGUGAUUUUUUUAACUUUGCAUGCAUUAAGGUUCACUUUUUGUGCUAUUAAGUUUAAUGGAUAUCAACCAAUGCACAGUCAUAUACCCACAUUUCUUCACCCUAAAAAACCCCCUGUGCUCACUUAUUGAACCCUCUCCCCGCCAAACACUGGCAACCACACAUCCGUUUACUGUAUCUAUGGUUUUGCCUUUUUGUGCCAUUAUUAAAAAAAAGAAAGACGCACAAUAUUUUUGUUGUUGCUCUUGUCACAGCUGCCACCCAUUGAAUCCUUACUAUGUCCCAGGUCCAGAAUUACACUGUCCCAUUUUGAAGAUGAGGAAACAGAUGCAAAUGAGUUGAAGUACUCCCUAGAGACUCAUAACAAUAAGCAAAGUUUGACUUCUAUGAUUAACUUCUGAGUCACCUCUGGGAAUAUUUGUAAUAUGUCUAAUAGCCACACUUCUUUUGUUUGUUUUGAUACAGGGGUCUUGCUGUUGCCUAGGCUGGAGUACAGUGGCUACUCACAGGUGCAAUCAUAGGGCACUACAGCCUUGAACUCCUGGGCUCAAGCAAUCCUCCUGCCUCAACCUCAAAAGUGGCUGGGACUACAAUGUGUGCCACUGUGCCCAGCUAUAUUAGCCACAUUUCAAGUACUCAAUAGCCGCUGUGCAGUUUAUACUAUUAUAUUGGUUUCUGAGUUUUGUUUUUGAGACUGCGUCUUGCUCUGUCACCAGGCUGGAGUGCAAUGGCACAAUCUCGGCUCACUGCAACCUCCACCACCUGGGUUCAAGCGAUUCUCCUGCCUCAGCCUCCCAAAUAGCUGAGACUACAGGUACGUAUCACCAAGACCAGCUAACUUUUGUAUUUUUAGUAGAGACAUGGUUUCACCAUGUUGGCCAGGAUGGUCUCGAUCUCUUGACCUCGUGAUCUGCCCGCCUCGGCCUCCCAAAGUGUUGGGAUUACAGGUGUGAGCCACGACACCCAGCCUUAGAUGUCUCUUAAGAGCAUAUCUAGCCUGGCAUUCUAGGAGUCUAUGAAAAGGAGGGAGAAAGGUGUCUGUAGCCAAACCUGCCUGUCUGGCUUCUUCUAGGUUGCCUAGCAAUGGAUGCCAACCCUCUCCCCCAUCCUUGGGGGUUUCUUAGCAACCCAGUUUCUCACCCUCUGCUGUUUUCAGGGUUUCCUUUUAACUAAAUGUCAAGUUUUGCUCUUUCUCCUCCAGAAAACCUGAGGCCAAGGGUCUCUGUGUAGAGCUGGAUACAACCCAGAAUACACAGAGACCUGGGUUUGAGGUCAGUGGAGGAUUUGCUGUGUGACUUGGAGGUCUUUGACCUCUCUGGCUUUCAUUUCAGACUGUGAUUCCCUGUCAUAUGCUCCUCAGAGUUCUUCUUCUUUUCUUCUUCUUCUUCUUUCCUCUUCUUCUUCUUCUUCUUCUUCUUCUUCUUCUUCUUCUUCUUCUUCUUCUUCUUCUUCUUCUUCUCUUCUUCUUUCUUCUUCUUCUUCUUUCUUUUCUUCUUCUUCCUCUUCCUCUUCUUCUUCUUCUUCUUCUCCUCCUCCUCCUCCUCCUCCUCCUCCUCCUUCUCCUUCCUUCUUUCUUCUUCUUCUUCUUCUUUUGUUUUUUGAGACCUAGUCUCACUCUGUCGCCCAGGCUGGAGUGCAGUGGGGCGAUCCCGGCUCACUGCAACCUCCGCCUCCCUGGUACAAGCAGUUCUCCUGCCUCAGCCUCCCAAGUAGCUGGGAUUACAGGUGCACGCCACCAUGCCCAGCUAAUUUUGUAUUUUUAGUAGACACAGGGUUUCACUAUGUUAGCCAGGCUGAUCUCGAACUCCCAAACUUUGGGAUUACAAGCAUGAGCCACUGUGCCCAGCCUGUUCUUUUCUAUUUUUUGAGAUGGAGUCUCACUCUGUCACUUAGGCUGGAGUACAGUGGCACAAUCUCAGCUCACUGCAACAUCCACCUCCCAAGUUCAAACGAUUUUUCUGCCUCAGCCACCAAAGUAAGCUGGGAUUAUAGGUGAACACCACCACACCGGGCUAAUUUUUUGUAUUAUUUGGUAGAGACGGGUUUUCACCGUGUUACCCAGGCUGGUCUCAGACUCCUGACCUCAAGUGAUCCGCCAGCAUCAGCCUCCCAAAGUGCUGGGAUUACAGGCAUGAGCCACUGUGCCCAGCCCUCUGUAUUGUUCUGAUUUUAGUAUAUGUGUGCUGAAAUGAGCACUUCCCUCUUCUCUUGUAUGCGUUUGGUUUGACUACCAAAUUUAUUCACUUUUGCAAUAAACCGUCACUGAGCACCUACUAUGUUCCAGGCACUGUCUUAAGGACUGGGGAUUCGUCAGUGAAUAAAGCAGACAUAGUCCCUUCCCUCACAGAGCUUAUACUCUAGUAGAUGGAAACGUAUAAUGAAUAAACAGAUAAGUGCACAUAAUGAUAUCAUGCAGUGAAGGGGACAAAGUGUAAGGAAGGGCUACUAUUUUAGAUGAGGAGGUUGUAUCAGUCAAGAUGGGCUAGGGAAGUCAGAGAUGGUUGGGAAGAAAAAGCCUGGCUUCCCCCUUUCUCCCUCCAACUUCCUGUGGGUGCCUCACCUUGGGUGACCUCAGCUAGAGGCCAGCUGACAAAGGAGGCUGAGUAGCUUCCAGGGGUCAGCUCUGCAAAGCAGGAAAGAGCAAGGAAUCCACUGGAAGCAAGAAGGCCCAAAAGUACCUUGGGAGGUACGCCGCUUUUUCAGCUCACUCACUGCCUGUAAACUGUCAGGGACCCUAGGAUCAUUAAAAAAUAUUUUGAGGGCCGGGCGUGGUGGCUCACGCCUGUAAUCCCAGCACUUUGGGAGGCUGAGGCAGGUGGAUUAUCUGAGGUCAGGAGUUCG
This 3749-nucleotide long non-coding RNA is filed under the name Homo sapiens (human). RNAcentral describes it as "HSALNT0399077". The record is from RNAcentral. Lineage: Eukaryota; Metazoa; Chordata; Mammalia; Primates; Hominidae.